Molecule: RNA transcript, 1840 nt
Organism: Enhydra lutris kenyoni (northern sea otter)
Lineage: Eukaryota; Metazoa; Chordata; Mammalia; Carnivora; Mustelidae
Gene name: eukaryotic translation initiation factor 3 subunit F pseudogene
Exons: 3
Source: RefSeq, a predicted model, not a curated record
AUGCAGUGCUCGGCUCCUGGCCUUAAAAAUGCCCGGAGAAGACUGACAAUCAGGCCACCACUGCCGCGGCCGCCGCCUCCUUUUCACUCCUGCGCGCCCGGCCCCGGCGCUCGCUCUGGCGCGGCUCCCGGGGACGUUCGGAGGGGCGCACGCGCGCUCGCGGCCGUGCGUCCGCCGCGGGGGCGCGGGGAGGGCGCGCGCUCGCGGCCGUGCGUCCGCCGCACGCGGGCGGGGCUAGGAGCGCGUGCCCGGGAGGCGCAUGGAGCGCACGCAGCCGAGGCGAACCCGCGGGCGGUGCGGCGAGGAUUCCACCCCCGCGGGAGCCGCCUGCUCCUCGGAGCACGCACCGAGCACCCCCUCCUGCCCUGGCAGCGGGUCGCCGCGCGGAGAGGGCGUGUCAGCGCGCCGCUGGUCGAGCGCCCACCCCACAAUGGCUGCGAGCGCCGGGAACCGAGGGUGCACCGCCGCUCCCCGCGGCCUUGCCGGGUGGCACGCCUAGCGCAGUGCCCAGCAUAUUAUAGUGAGCGCUCAGUAGGGCGGGAAAACUGCUGCUGCUGCUGCUGCUACUGCUACUGCUGCAGCCUUUUGAGAAAAAAAGCCCUUUCUGUGAUACUAGGACUGCAACCUCCAGCCCCCGCCCGGACCACCGCCGUGGCCCCAGCUUCUGUCCCAGCCCCGGCCCCAGCCCCAGCCUCAGCGCAAGCGCCCGCUCAGCCUCCAGCGCCGGUCCCAGCUCCAGCGCCGGCUCCAGCCUCAUCCUCAGACUCAGUGACUGCAGCGGCUACGACUGCGGCUCCGGGCCAGACCCCGGCCUCAACGCCGGCCUCAGCGCAGACUCCGGCGCAGUCGCUGCCGGGGCCUGCCCUCCCAGGCCCCUUCCCCGGCGGCCGUGUGGUCCGGCUGCAUCCGGUCAUUUUGGCCUCCAUCGUGGACAGCUACGAGCGACGCAACGAGGGCGCUGCCCGAGUUAUCAGGACCCUGCUGGGAACCGUUGACAAGCAUUCAGUGGAGGUGACUAACUGCUUUUCAGUGCCGCACAACGAGUCAGAAGAUGAGGCGGCUGUUGACAUGGAAUUUGCUAAGAACAUGUAUGAAUUACACAAGAAAGUCUCUCCAAAUGAGCUUAUCCUGGGCUGGUAUGCUACAGGCCAUGGCAUCACAGAGCACUCUGUGCUGAUCCAUGAGUACUACAGCCGGGAAGCCCCCAACCCCAUUCACCUCACUGUGGACACGAGCCUCCAGAAUGGCCGCAUGAGCAUCAAGGCCUAUGUCAGCACUUUAAUGGGUGUCCCUGGGAGAACCAUGGGGGUGAUGUUCACACCUCUCACAGUGAAAUAUGCAUAUUAUGACACCCAGCGCAUUGGAGUUGACCUGAUCAUGAAGACCUGCUUUAGCCCCAACCGGGUGAUUGGACUCUCAAGUGACUUGCAGCAAGUAGGAGGGGCAUCAGCUCGCAUCCAGGAGGCCCUGAGCACAGUGUUGCAGUAUGCAGAGGAUGUGCUGUCCGGAAAGGUGUCAGCGGACAAUACCGUGGGCCGCUUCUUGAUGAGUCUGGUUAACCAAGUACCCAAGAUAGUUCCUGCUGACUUUGAGACCAUGCUCAACAGCAACACCAAUGACCUGCUGAUGGUGACCUACCUGGCCAAUCUCACGCAGUCACAGAUUGCCCUCAGUGAGAAACUUGUAAACCUGUGAAUGGGCCCCACGCAGCACUCCUGCCAGUCUGGGCCACCCUAGGACUCAGAGUGGAGUGAAGUAGAAUGGUUUUCUUGUGGUUUGAGUCACACCAAGUCAGUCAAGUGCUUGUGACUCUAAAUAAAUGUAGCCUACCUUUUAUAAA